Molecule: non-coding RNA, 71 nt
Organism: Cynoglossus semilaevis (tongue sole)
Lineage: Eukaryota; Metazoa; Chordata; Actinopteri; Pleuronectiformes; Cynoglossidae
Source: Ensembl
UAGAGAGUAGUGUACCGGAAGCACGAAGAGUUUUGAUCUCCUAAGUGAAGGUCCAAAUCCUUCCUCUCUAU